GACGAACGCUGGCGGCGUGCUUAACACAUGCAAGUCGAACGGACAGGCCCUGCUUUUGUGGGGUGCUCGAGUGGCGAACGGGUGAGUAACACGUGAGUAACCUGCCCUUGACUUUGGGAUAACUUCAGGAAACUGGGGCUAAUACCGGAUAGGAGCUCCUGCUGCAUGGUGGGGGUUGGAAAGUUUCGGCGGUUGGGGAUGGACUCGCGGCGUAUCAGCUUGUUGGUGGGGUAGUGGCUUACCAAGGCUUUGACGGGUAGCCGGCCUGAGAGGGUGACCGGCGACAUUGGGACUGAGAGACGGCACAGGCUCCUACGGGAGGGAGCAGGGGGGAAUAUUGCACAAUGGGCGGAAGGCUGAUGCAGCAAUGCCGCGUGCGGGAUGACUGCCUUCGGGGUGUAAACCGAUUUCGCCUGUGACGAAGCGUGAGUGACGGUAAUGGGUAAAGAAGCACCGGCUAACUACGUG
This 468-nucleotide ribosomal RNA is filed under the name uncultured bacterium. Its description in RNAcentral is "partial 16S ribosomal RNA". It matches the Rfam family "Bacterial small subunit ribosomal RNA", at positions 28 to 507 of the family's 1533-position model. The record is from RNAcentral.